AAAAGUAGAUUUGGAUUUGUGUAUGUAGAACAGAACACGUAACGUUAGCAUCAAAGUUAUGUUGUUACAGUCCAUCGCAACUGUAUUUAUUGGUUUUUAUUUGAGUGCGAAAGCUUUUGCCGCACCCUGUAGUUACCGAUUACAGUGCAUCUGAAGUCAUGUAGCAGUGCACUGUAGUGCGAAGUGCAUGAGACGGUUUGAUAUAUUGAUUGGAAGCCUUGUGCACAUGUUUAUGAGGCUCAUAUUUCCAUGCGGCAUUGUCUUUCAAACCUUACAGCUGUGCUGAAUUGUUGCUUUGCUUUCUUUGUAGGACACUGAACGAGAGCUCUAGAUGAGAAUGAUAUGUUCUCUGCACUUCGCUCAUAUGCGCAAUGUAACCAGUGGAAGUAGAAUAUAACACGAUUAUCACUGGAAAAGCACAUUCCUCCAAGGACCGUUUACCUGGCAUGAAUCAGUGAAUACGCAACAUUACGGAGGUAAUAGGAGCUAACCAGGUAGCCCAAGAUAAUCGACUACACAGCCAUCAGACAGGACCGUUGGAGAACGAGGCCCGCUAAGCUUACCUUUACCGCAGGCGGCCUCAAAAUCUAUGAUGUCGUGGCAAGCUGGUACGGGAACGUUGAGGUGUCAUUACCGCACAUUCUUCAUUUUUACAUCUUUCCUGGUUUACCAAGCCUUCUUUCAUGGUCCCUUACCUUUGCUGUAAACUGUAAAGAAGCAUUGCUAGUUUCGCAUCCUGAUACAUCUUGAGGCAGGAUUCAUAAAGAGCAAGUGAUUGCAGUCAACCAGGUAUGUAUCUACAAUUAGAUACUUGCCGGAGCUGAUAUGCAGUUCUGAAGUUCUGUUUUCUUCCUUUUUGUUUUCCUGUGUUCAAUUUCAAGAGCUCAAGACGCACGCGCACAUAUGUACCUGGU
Dermacentor silvarum is the source of this 914-nucleotide long non-coding RNA. RefSeq lists it as uncharacterized. The transcript has 4 exons. Lineage: Eukaryota; Metazoa; Arthropoda; Arachnida; Ixodida; Ixodidae. The record is from RefSeq and is a predicted model, not a curated record.